AUGUACAUGCAGAAAACUAGACAGCGUCCAUUACCCAAGUAUCCAAUGCUGAAAACUAGGGAAGAAUACAACAGGUACACAUAUUACACCGGUAAGCCUGGACUUGCAAAACAAGAGAGGUUCAUAAAAAUACAGCACAUGCACACACCAACAGUUCAGUCUACUUGCAGUCGACAACAUAAAACAUCACACGACGCAAACCAACAGAGACCCCCGCCACCUGAGAGCACGGCGCUAAAGCCUGCCGGCAAAGCCAGAUUACGGUAUGCGCAUGCUCGUGAAGCGGAUGCUGGAUACAGAGUUGCUUUGCUCAGGCACAGUGUGCAGCUCAUCUGUCGCCGCUGCUGCCUCCCCGGGGACACCUGCAGCAUCAUCUGGGUAGCGCACAACCACAACCGGGCAGACACAGUGAUGCACACAGUAAUCACUAACACUCCCGAGCCUCCCCUUGCCGCCCUUGCGCGAGGCCCCGAAUCCGCGGCUCCCCAUGAUCAUGGCGGACAGGCCAAGGCGCUCGGCCUCGAGGCAGAGGCGCUCCUUCAUGUCGUGGUCCUUGACGACGUGGAUCUUAAAGGGGAUCUGCGCGGCGACGAGCGGCUGCGCCAGGUCCUGCGACUUGGUGGAGGUGAAGGCGUCGAAGUCCUCCUCCCGCUUCUUCUGCAGCUCCUCCGCGGAGGCGGCGGCGGGGUCGGAGCCCUCGGCGGCGGCGGCGACGGCGGCAUCGUCCGCGUCGUCGUCGGAGACGGAGACGGGGAUGGAUCCCCAGUCGGCGCCGUAGAGGACGGAGGUGGGGCGGACGUGGAGGAGCACGACGGCGUCGCCGGGGCGCAGGUAGUUCUGCACGGCCCACCGCACGGCGAAGGCGGACUCGUCGGAGAGGUCGACGGCGAUGGCGAUGCGGCGGUGGGAGGAGGAGUUGGCCGCCAUGGGGAGCUAGCUGGCUAG
This 945-nucleotide ribosomal RNA is filed under the name Triticum aestivum (bread wheat). Its description in RNAcentral is "partial small subunit ribosomal RNA". Lineage: Eukaryota; Viridiplantae; Streptophyta; Magnoliopsida; Poales; Poaceae. The record is from RNAcentral.